AGACUUUGAUCCUGGCUCAGGAUGAACGCUAGCUACAGGCUUAACACAUGCGAGUCGAGGGGAAACGACAUCGAAAGCUUGCUUUUGAUGGGCGUCGACCGGCGCACGGGUGAGUAACGCGUAUCCAACCUGCCCACCACUUGGGGAUAACCUUGCGAAAGUAAGACUAAUACCCAAUGAUAUCUCUAGAAGACAUCUGAAAGAGAUUAAAGAUUUAUCGGUGAUGGAUGGGGAUGCGUCUGAUUAGCUUGUUGGCGGGGUAACGGCCCACCAAGGCGACGAUCAGUAGGGGUUCUGAGAGGAAGGUCCCCCACAUUGGAACUGAGACACGGUCCAAACUCCUACGGGAGGCAGCAGUGAGGAAUAUUGGUCAAUGGGCGAGAGCCUGAACCAGCCAAGUAGCGUGCAGGAUGACGGCCCUAUGGGUUGUAAACUGCUUUUAUAAGGGAAUAAAGUGAGACUCGUGAGGCUUUUUGCAUGUACCUUAUGAAUAAGGACCGGCUAAUUCCGUGCCAGCAGCCGCGGUAAUACGGAAGGUCCGGGCGUUAUCCGGAUUUAUUGGGUUUAAAGGGAGCGUAGGCCGGAGAUUAAGCGUGUUGUGAAAUGUAGACGCUCAACGUCUGCACUGCAGCGCGAACUGGUUUCCUUGAGUACGCACAAAGUGGGCGGAAUUCGUGGUGUAGCGGUGAAAUGCUUAGAUAUCACGAAGAACUCCGAUUGCGAAGGCAGCUCACUGGAGCGCAACUGACGCUGAAGCUCGAAAGUGCGGGUAUCGAACAGGAUUAGAUACCCUGGUAGUCCGCACGGUAAACGAUGGAUGCCCGCUGUUGGUCUGAAUAGGUCAGCGGCCAAGCGAAAGCAUUAAGCAUCCCACCUGGGGAGUACGCCGGCAACGGUGCAACUGAAAGGAAUUGACGGA
This 919-nucleotide ribosomal RNA is filed under the name uncultured Bacteroidota bacterium. RNAcentral's name for it is "bacterial SSU rRNA". It matches the Rfam family "Bacterial small subunit ribosomal RNA", at positions 8 to 917 of the family's 1533-position model. The record is from RNAcentral. Lineage: Bacteria; Pseudomonadati; Bacteroidota.